Acipenser ruthenus (sterlet) is the source of this 2371-nucleotide long non-coding RNA. RefSeq lists it as uncharacterized. Lineage: Eukaryota; Metazoa; Chordata; Actinopteri; Acipenseriformes; Acipenseridae. The transcript is spliced from 4 exons. The record is from RefSeq and is a predicted model, not a curated record.
AAGGGAUUCAUAGCCCCUUUUAAAUAGACCCAAGAACAGACACAAGAAUUGAAGUUUUUAUAGCACUUACAUGCAGUUUAUUAUUUUACAGAAAUAAAAGAUUAAUCAAAGCAAAGACCUAACUCACACAUGGCGUACUAACUGAACUGCUUCUCGGGCCUAACUAAACUGAACUGCUUCUCGGGCCUAACUAAACUGAACUGCUUCUCGGGCCUAACUAAACUGAACUGAUUCUCAAAUCUAACUAAACUGAACUGCUUCUCCAACCUAACUAAACUGAACUGCUUCUCAAAUCUAACUAAACUGAACUGCUUCUCGGACCUACCUAAACUGAACUGCUUCUCGGGCCUAACUAAACUGAACUGCUUCUCCAACCUAACUAAACUGAACUGCUUCUCAAAUCUAACUAAACUGAACUGCUUCUCGGGCCUAACUAAACUGAACUGAUUCUCAAAUCUAACCAAACUGAACUGCUUCUCCAACCUAACUAAACUGAACUGCUUCUCAAAUCUAACUAAACUGAACUGCUUCUCGGACUUAACUAAACUGAACUGCUUCUCGAACCUACCUAAAAUCGGACGGCUAAGCCAUUUACUGAUUAACACAAAACGAUUUCCACACUACCUUUUAAAAGACCACACAGGUCUCUUGACAGCCUCUCUCCACACAGACUGGAGACUGCCCCAAUUAAAUUAAACACAACAAUUAGAAACAAUAAUUAAUUACACCUGUGUCUAUGCGAGCACAGGUACAGGGGAGAAGUUUGCCCCGAACUUCGACUGGCAGGCAGGUCUGCCUCUUAGGCAGAUAAUAAAACACCUCUCUGCGAAAACCCGCCUCCUCAGUUACAUCACAAAGGAACACGCCUUCUAAGGUCAAAAGCUGCCUGUUUCCACGCCCUCACAUUCAAACUGAAAACUGCGCGGCAAGGUUUUGCUGCAGAACAGAUUUGGAACGAAAAAGAGAAAUGCCUCCCAGAAAGCGUAGGAAGUGUACUUCGGUCACUGUGAAAAAUCAUGCAGAAAAAGCUCAUGCUACAUCAGCAAGCCCUGCUGCUUGUUGAGAAAGCGACACUGCUUCCCCACUGCCACAGGCAUGCCCUCCUUCCUCCAGCACAGUCGCUGUGUCACUUCAGCAUCCAUCUGUAUCGCUGGCUGUGCCUCGCCCAGCUGUAAUACCCGACAGCAUGGCUACACCACAAGUAUUUGCUGAAGUCGAGAGCCUUCUCCCUCUUUCUUUCAACAAGAGAAAGAAAAGGAGAAGCCUGCGAUUUAGGUGUGGGCAUCGGCAAGCUGGCAGUGAGGAUAAUUCCUUUUGACAGGAUCGCAGUUUUGGAGGGCUCGAUCACAACCAAAGAUGUUGCCAUUGGAAAGCUUCAUGAAUUUAAGUAUGUUUCUUUACAGUUUUACACUAGUGAUGAAAAAUGCAGGUGUAGUGUAACCAAAACGUUAAAUUACAUCAAAUUUGUAACAAAAAAUAUACACUAUGAAUAUUAAAUAUAGAAAAAGUAAAAUCAGACCAAAAUAUUUCCCAUGUACAAAACAAUAAAGUUAGAAAGAGGGGUCAACCAGAGAAAGAUAUGAUUGCAAUCAAAUGUGUGAAAUUGUAAAAAUAAAGUGCACUCUGCCUUUACCCGCUAUGCCACUUGUGAGCCCCAAAUUAUUAUUUUUAAAGUGUAAAGGUACACAUUAAAACUUCUAAAUAGACUUGCAGAUUUUCUCAGGAUGAUUUUUUCUGCUGGGCAUCUCAAUAUUUUUUGUUUUUAUUUACAUACCAUUACAAGAUAAAAUGUUAGGCGCUAAAAACAAUCCUCAUUAAAUAUUGGGUAAAAUCAGUGUCUAAGGCUAAAAGCAGCUUACAUAAAACCACAUGACUGGUUUAUUGAGUAUUGCAGUACGAAUUGUAUUAUUCAUUAUUUAAAAAAAAAAAAAAAAAUUAUAUAUAUAUAUUUUUUUUUUUUCUCGAUGGCAUCAAGAAUACAACAGACCAAAUUAAAGAAAGUGCUAUGGACUUUGACAUGGCUACUCAUGGACUGGGCUUUCAAAUGCUUGAUGUUUACAGUUCUGUACUUCAAAAAUGUGCCAAUUCCCAGAUAGAAAAACUGCAGAAUGUGUAGUUUUAGAUGACACUGAAAAUAAGGCAUCCUUUGCAUAUAUGUUCAUUAUUUUAAAAAAGGGCUUGUUCAAAACAUUAAGAACAUUUCUAAGCAAAGAAAACCUAAAAUAGCAUUUUAUGUAAGGCAUUUUCUUUUCUAUACAACCUCUUAAAUAUAUAUUUAAAAAUUGACCAUAAACAUACAUAAAUAAAGGUACUGUACAACAUCUCAGAUUUAUAGUUUCUUGUUUUAUUUGUUUAUGGUUUAAAUAAUAGC